UGGGGAAUUUUGGACAAUGGACGCAAGUCUGAUCCAGCCAUUCCGCGUGCAGGAUGAAGGCCCUCGGGUUGUAAACUGCUUUUGUACGGAACGAAAAGGUUUCUAUUAAUACUAGGAGCUCAUGACGGUACCGUAAGAAUAAGCACCGGCUAACUACGUGCCAGCAGCCGCGGUAAUACGUAGGGUGCAAGCGUUAAUCGGAAUUACUGGGCGUAAAGCGUGCGCAGGCGGUUUUAUCAAACAGAUGGU
This 249-nucleotide ribosomal RNA is filed under the name uncultured Comamonadaceae bacterium. RNAcentral describes it as "partial 16S ribosomal RNA". It matches the Rfam family "Bacterial small subunit ribosomal RNA", at positions 355 to 596 of the family's 1533-position model. Lineage: Bacteria; Pseudomonadati; Pseudomonadota; Betaproteobacteria; Burkholderiales; Comamonadaceae. The record is from RNAcentral.